AACGAACGCUGGCGGCGUGCCUAACACAUGCAAGUCGUGCGAGAAAGUUCCUUCGGGAGCGAGUAAAGCGGCGCACGGGUGAGUAACACGUAGGUAACCUGCCCCCCAGUCUGGAACAACUAGAGGAAACUCUAGCUAAUGCCGGAUGAGACCACGAUCCCUUCGGGGGUUGCGGCCAAAGAUGGCCUCUACUUGUAAGCUAUCGCUGAGGGAUGGGCCUGCGGCCAUUAGCUUGUUGGUGAGGUAACGGCUCACCAAGGCUGUGAUGGCUAGCUGGUCUGAGAGGAUGACCAGCCACACUGGGACUGAGACACGGCCCAGACUCCUACGGGAGGCAGCAGUGGGGAAUAUUGCGCAAUGGGCGAAAGCCUGACGCAGCGACGCCGCGUGGGUGAUGAAGGCCU
Molecule: ribosomal RNA, 404 nt
Filed under: uncultured bacterium
Lineage: Bacteria
Description: bacterial SSU rRNA
Rfam family: Bacterial small subunit ribosomal RNA
Source: RNAcentral